UGGGUUGGCGGGCUCCGUGCUACGGCAUCGAACCGUCCGCGCACACUCCACGUCAGUGAUGCAUCAAGAGUUUCUUAUGCUUCAAACGGAUUCCUGUACUUGCUACCUAUCGUAAAGGUAUGGCGCCUCUCGUUGACUCUUUCCUUCCCUGACUCAUGCGGUCUGGGGGAGGACAUCGUAGUAGCGCCUGUGCCCCCCGCAUUGUGCGUGCCUUAUGGUCCGCACUUUACGACGGUUCCCAGGUCGUUGCUUGAUGCCUCGGAUACGGAACAUUCGGUGGGCUUUGGGUGUUCGCACCCUCGAUGUCCGAUUCCAAGCGUUUUUGUCGCUAGACAUGUACGAUUGUCAUGCUCCGUUGCGGGAUCCCCCGCGCGGUCGCUGGCGUCGGUAUAGGAAUGCUACCUGGUU
Molecule: unclassified non-coding RNA, 408 nt
Filed under: Drymocallis corsica
Lineage: Eukaryota; Viridiplantae; Streptophyta; Magnoliopsida; Rosales; Rosaceae
Description: partial external transcribed spacer
Source: RNAcentral